This 113-nucleotide ribosomal RNA is filed under the name Asterostroma macrosporum. RNAcentral describes it as "5.8S ribosomal RNA". It matches the Rfam family "5.8S ribosomal RNA", at positions 2 to 114 of the family's 154-position model. Rfam says of the family: 5.8S ribosomal RNA (5.8S rRNA) is a component of the large subunit of the eukaryotic ribosome. It is transcribed by RNA polymerase I as part of the 45S precursor that also contains 18S and 28S rRNA. The record is from RNAcentral. Lineage: Eukaryota; Fungi; Basidiomycota; Agaricomycetes; Russulales; Lachnocladiaceae.
ACUUUCAGCAACGGAUCUCUUGGCUCUCGCAUCGAUGAAGAACGCAGCGAAAUGCGAUAAGUAAUGUGAAUUGCAGAAUUCAGUGAAUCAUCGAAUCUUUGAACGCACCUUGC